CUAUACAUCUCAAAAAGAAGACUUGACUCCCAGCGGAGGGACUCGGAUGAAUGUACAACUAUUGAAUGCCGAGACACCUACCAAAAGAUGGAUAUAAGUCUACAAGGACACCUCGUCCUAGUUACUUGCUGCCUCGUGAUCUGAAAACAAGAAGUUGAAAAUGGUGAGUAUAAACUCAAUGAGUGAACAAGGAAGGGAACAAGCAACCAUAAGGAAGAAUUUCAAAUCAUGAUGCUUUUGUUUUAAAACAAUGCAAUUUAAUUUCAUUCAUAUUAAAAACCCCUCAUUAAACCCUUAUAUGAUUAAUCAAUUGGUAAUGAGGAACCCAUACAUAACAAAUAAUUUGAAGAAUGAAGGCUACAAUGAUACACCAACAAGACAAAUGCAACGACGAAUCUUCGCUGCAACGGGAAGGCAUUCUCGCUGCAGCGUAGUUGCAGCAAGAAUGAAUUUUUGCUGCAGCAACGUUGGAAUUGAGUUAUUAGCCGAACGUGGGUUUCUUAACUGGCCAAGGGUUUUUCACUAAACUACCUCAUUUUAAACUUAACUCAUUUAGUCCUUAAUGCUUGAAGUCCAUGCCCAGAUAUGGUAGCAAAUAAGUGAAAAAUAGGGCAGCAAUUGGACAAGAUAGGAGACAAAAACAUAAGGUUUUUCGCUGCAGCUAAAUUGUAACCCAAAAACAAAAGGUUUCUCGCUGCAGCGAGAUUCUUUCUCGCUGUAGUGAAAUUCAACUGAUGAAACAGAGAGUUUUUCGCUGUAGCGAGAUUCGUUUUCGCUGCAACGAGAAGCUACAGUGACUAUCUGGCUGCAGCGAAAUACAUUCUCGUUGCAGCGAGAACCAGUUCUGGUGAAGAUUCUCAAACUGGAGAGUUUCUCGCUGCAGCGAGAAUGAAUUUCGCUGCAGGGAAAAUAGAGCGACAAGAGAAAAGUUUCCCCUCACUCAACAAAAAGGCCAUAUGCUAAACCAACAAAAUAAACAUACAGCACAUGAAAAUUCCUAAAGUGCAAUGUAUCAAAUUUCUCAUAUAUGUGCAUAAUUACAUAGAUAAACAUCAACAUCAUCAUAAUCACACCCAGCUCAUGUACAUCUCCCCACAUCGUGCACGUAGCCCGCGCCAUCGUGUGCAUCCCCCCACAUCGUGCACAAUCAGUGCCAUUGUGUACAUCCCCCCACAUCGUGCACACGAGCACUAUCAUCAUCCAUCUCUUACUCCACCAUUAUCACUGGCAUGUGCAUCCCCCCCACAUCAUGCACACACACGGUUACUGUCAUUAUACACAAUAUCAUUCAUCAUGCACAACACACACAUUUAUAUAUCUUCAUACUACAAUAGUGCAUGAAUCCAUAGCAAUCACAUAUCACAACAUAAAACCAUUUUGCAAAAGCUUGUUCCCAAGGCACUUGUCUUUAUGAAAAACUUGAUAAUUCAUUCAAAUGGGUGGCAAAUACAUUAUAUUUCCCAAAACAACUUUUGAAGGCAGUCCAUUCACCAAUUGAUUGUAGAGCCUUUAGAUGACUCCAAUUCCCCUAAUUGUCCAAAUGAGAUGAUGGGGCUUCCUUAGAACC
Molecule: long non-coding RNA, 1567 nt
Filed under: Theobroma cacao (cacao)
Lineage: Eukaryota; Viridiplantae; Streptophyta; Magnoliopsida; Malvales; Malvaceae
Description: long non-coding RNA (TCAC_LNC005904)
Source: RNAcentral